CGGAGGGUGCAAGCGUUAAUCGGAAUUACUGGGCGUAAAGCGCACGCAGGCGGUUUGUUAAGUCAGAUGUGAAAUCCCCGGGCUCAACCUGGGAACUGCAUCUGAUACUGGCAAGCUUGAGUCUCGUAGAGGGGGGUAGAAUUCCAGGUGUAGCGGUGAAAUGCGUAGAGAUCUGGAGGAAUACCGGUGGCGAAGGCGGCCCCCUGGACGAAGACUGACGCUCAGGUGCGAAAGCGUGGGGAGCAAA
Molecule: ribosomal RNA, 247 nt
Filed under: uncultured bacterium
Lineage: Bacteria
Description: partial 16S ribosomal RNA
Rfam family: Bacterial small subunit ribosomal RNA
Source: RNAcentral